GACGAACGCUGGCGGCGUGCUUAACACAUGCAAGUCGAACGGUAAGGCCCUUCGGGGUACACGAGUGGCGAACGGGUGAGUAACACGUGGGUGAUCUGCCCUGCACUUCGGGAUAAGCCUGGGAAACUGGGUCUAAUACCGGAGAGGACCACUGCGUGCAUGGGUGGUGGGGGAAAGCUUUUGCGGUGUGGGAUGGGCCCGCGGCCUAUCAGCUUGUUGGUGGGGUGAGGGCCUACCAAGGCGCCGACGGGUAGCCGGCCUGAGAGGGUGACCGGCCACACUGGGACUGAGAUACGGCCCAGACUCCUACGGGAGGCAGCAGUGGGGAAUAUUGCACAAUGGGCGCAAGCCUGAUGCAGCGACGCCGCGUGAGGGAUGACGGCCUUCGGGUUGUAAACCUCUUUCAGCACCGACGAAGCGCAAGUGACGGUAGGUGCAGAAGAAGGACCGGCCAACUACGUGCCAGCCGCCGCGGUAA
This 478-nucleotide ribosomal RNA is filed under the name uncultured bacterium. RNAcentral describes it as "partial 16S ribosomal RNA". It matches the Rfam family "Bacterial small subunit ribosomal RNA", at positions 28 to 523 of the family's 1533-position model. The record is from RNAcentral.